This 253-nucleotide ribosomal RNA is filed under the name uncultured bacterium. RNAcentral's name for it is "partial 16S ribosomal RNA". It matches the Rfam family "Bacterial small subunit ribosomal RNA", at positions 524 to 776 of the family's 1533-position model. The record is from RNAcentral.
UACGGAGGGUGCAAACGUUGCUCGGAAUCAUUGGGCGUAAAGCGCACGUAGGCGGCUUCUUAAGUCGGGUGUGAAAGCCCUCGGCUCAACCGAGGAAGUGCAUUCGAAACUGGGGAGCUUGAAUACUGGAGAGGAUGGCGGAAUUCCCGGUGUAGAGGUGAAAUUCGUAGAUAUCGGGAGGAACACCAGCGGCGAAGGCGGCCAUCUGGACAGAUAUUGACGCUGAGGUGCGAAAGCGUGGGGAGCAAACAGG